Pantherophis guttatus is the source of this 7605-nucleotide non-coding RNA. NCBI's taxonomy places the organism in Eukaryota, Metazoa, Chordata, Lepidosauria, Squamata, Colubridae. The record is from RefSeq and is a predicted model, not a curated record.
AAUUAGCUACACCUUCUUUUUCUGUGGGGCUGGCCUCUGGGAAGGAGGGAGCCCCCCAAAAGGCCGGCACACAGGCUGUGGUGGGUCGCGUACUGAUCGGCGGGGCUUGAUCUCGGGGCACCGCCGAGGGAUUGGGGGCAGCGCCGCAAGGAGGGGAAAGCGUUGGCCGCCGCACAGCCGCCACAGCCCGCAGCCGGGAGGGGGUGGGGAAGGGUGGCGGCGGCGAGGAGCAGCCUGGCUCGGUUGGGUUCAUUCGUCCUUACCGCCCCGCCUUUGGGUGGCAGGCAGCGCAGCGGCCAGAGCGAGCCCGCCGGCGGGACUGCAGCGGCCUCUUCUUCUCGUCUGCCGCGAGCGGCCGAGAAGCUGUUAGUGCUGCUGUCGCCGAACACAAUAAAAGGAGGCGGGUGAAGAGAAGGCAGCCGGCAACGUUUCCCUUUCGCGCUUUGUAGGCCCGGCUCGGCCCGGCUUGGCUGAGGGGUCCUUGAGCAGCCAUCCCCCAUCACACCCGGCGCCUCCAGCUAGUCGCUGGGAAGUCGGCCGGAGGAGGCAAGGCGGCGGCGGCGGCGGCGGCGGCGGGCGCAGGCCGAAGGGAGAGGCCUAGCUUGCCGUACCCUCCACCUCUGAGACGGCGCUUGGGCCAGACCGAAGGAGGGGGGAAAAAAAAGACUGGUCGGCGCGAUGGUGUGAAACGAGAUCAGCGCCUGAGCGAAGAUGGCCGGUGGUGGCGGCGGUAGAAACGUAGGGAGCAUCCGGCAGCCGGCCUUUCUUCUCGAGGCUUUGGAUAAAUCACAGUCCAAGCGGGAUGGAGGUUUUAAAAAUAACUGGAGCUUUGAUCAUUCAGAAGAAAGUGAAGGAGAUACUGAGAAAGAUGAAGCCAAUUUGCUGACAUUUGAUGAAAGCGAUGGAACUUGUAGUCCCAAUGGUGAAAGGAAACCAUGUCGCCAUCGCUUAGGUUUUGGAACCAGAAAUGAAGCCUUAAGGACAUACAGCAGACGAAACAAAAGUGACACUCCUGGAACUUUAAAAAGCACCCCAACUGGACUUAACAUAUCGGGAAGCGGAAGGAAAAUAUGUGUAAAUGCUGAAAAUAUAUCCUGUUCAGAAUCAGAAGUACAGGCCAGACGUUUCUGUGCUCACACACAAACACGAGUAAAAACAGCAGCACAAAACAAUCGGGAUCUAAAAGAAAGGAAAGAAUACCCCGAUAAUAUUCCAAAGGUGGAUAACAAUUGCAAUAAAUGGUCUCAGCUUCAGGAGAUGAAAAGAGUGAUGGAGAACAGAGAUGAGUCUGGUUCAGAAUCAGAGUCAGGAAUUACAAGGAGGGUACAACAGAAACGGCAAUGCAGUUUUUAUCAGGCUGGUUUGCUUCCAUCUCCUGCCACCAAAACUAAUGCAACCCACAUAGAGGGCUUGGAUAGUUACUCCAGAAUUUGCCCAUGCAUUGGAAAAACAAAUGAAAGUGAGACUGAAUGCCAGCUUUCUGGAGUUUUUAGAGGCUUGCAAAGACAAUCCACCCAAACCAUGCCUUUACAUGAUAAUUUGGCACGAGAAUCAAUACAUGACAGUUCAACAGAGCAACAUUCUUUAAGCACAGGAUUAAAUGCAAAAAAGUUUUAUGGAUCAUCUCCUGGUACAGUUUCUACGGAUCACAUGGUGAGGCGCAGUAUAGGCCCUGCUAUGUUACGGCCAAAUGGAAAAGUGGGUUCUAAACUGACUGGACAUUUACGGCAGAAAACUACAACAGCAUCUGAGCUAAAUGAUCCAAUUGUGCUCUCCAGUGAUGAAGAAGAAGAUCAGAUUGGUGUCACUAACAGAAUGGAGAGCAUAUCGCCACGCCCAGCAGAUUCAGCCUGUUCUUCUCCUGCACCUUCCACAGGAAAAGUGGAAGCAGCCCUGAAGGAAAAUACUUGUGAACUAGAACAAAGGCUAACUGGCAUUACAGCAGAAACGGAAUCUACAGUAGCAUUACCAAGAAAAGCAAGAAUGAAAGAUCAGUUUGGCAACAUUGUAUCCAGUGCUCCUGUAAAGCGUCGAAAAGUUUUCCCCCAAGAAACUGUGACUGAUGUCAUAAUACCUUCAAAAUAUCAGAACUCUUAUGAAAGUGUCAUAUUGAACUGUCGGAGUAUAAGAAUAGGAACUCUACGAAAAAUGGUGGUGGAUCCUGUAAUUUUUUGUUUAGACUAUAUUGAGAUACGUUUGGAAGAGUCAGAAAAUGAUACUAGAGAUAUUAAUUUAAAAACUUCUGAACUUACAAAGUGUGAAUGGUGUAGUGUACGCAAAUUGCCAGUGGUUUUCUUGCAAACUGUACCUGCUGCCUGCCAAAGUUUAAGAUCACAUUUGAAGAUGAAUAGGGAAAAAGAUAAUGUAUGGUAUGAUUGUAAAGGAGCAAAUCCAGAAGAACAAUACAUCAUUUUAAUUUUUGAGACAAGUCUUGAUCCUCAUGCAAAUGCAAUAUUUGAAAAAAUAAUAAGUGAAAUUGGUAUCAGGAACAACAUUUCUGAAUUUUUCGUGAAAAUUACUUUUGAAGAAGCAAACAGUAGGCUUGUGGCCUUUACAAAAUCUUUUGAAGAUACUAGAGGAAGCGGUGGUCCUAAAGAAAGCAAAACAAAACAUGUUGUCUCUGAAUCUAAAAUGCAGCUGCAAAAUGCAACACAGUUCCAGUUCUUUGAAGAUGAUGAAAGUGGAGAGCCACAUACCGUCUUCAUUGGUCCUAUAGAAAAGUUGAUAGUUUAUCCACCUCCUCCAGCAAAAGGGGGUAUUUCUGUGACCAAUGAAGAUCUUCAUUGUUUAAAUGAAGGAGAAUUUUUAAAUGACGUAAUAAUUGAUUUUUAUUUAAAGUAUCUGGUGCUAGAAAGGUUAAAAAAAGAAGAUGCAGAUAGGAUUCAUGUGUUCAGUUCCUUUUUUUACAAACGCCUUAAUCAAAGAGAGAGAAGGAACCUUCAAGAAACUUCAAAGCUCACAAUUCAGCAGAAACGGCAUGGUCGAGUAAAAACAUGGACACGACAUGUUGAUAUCUUUGAAAAAGAUUUUAUUUUUGUUCCUCUUAAUGAAGCUGCCCACUGGUUCUUGGCUGUCAUCUGUUUUCCAGGUUUAGAGAAACCAAUAUAUGAAGCUAACCCAUAUUAUCAGGAAAAUGUAUCUAUACAGGUUAAGUCUUCUUCUUUAGAUCAAGAUAGAAGUGCUUCAUCUCCUGUAUGCGCUGAAAUGGAUCUAUUACAGCAGUCCCCUCUAACAAGGAAAUUGUUCAGCAAGAAACAUAUUGCAGAAUUAACUGACACAAACACAGAUUCGGAGGAGAGUGAACCAUUAUACUGCAAAAGAAACUCUUCUGAGAAAAGUGGCUUUAAAAAAUUAAAUCAUUUGAACACUGUAGAAGAAUUCAGGACUAUGGAAUCCAUAUGUCCUAAACAUGAUCUGAAAACUUCAGAGGCAAAUGGAAUGCAAAAUGAACAUAAAAUUCAUAUCCAAGCUAAUGAUGGUUUACAGAAAAUCAGGCUAAACUGUAGCGAAAAAUCUGCUGACAGCAAUAAACUAAAUGAAGAUGAGCUCAUAGAUUUUUCAGAAGACCAAGAUAACCAGGAGAAUAGUAGCGAUGAUGAUGGUCUUGCUGAUGAUAACUGUAAUUCAGAAUUAGGACAAUGGCAUCUAAAGCCGACGAUAUGCAAACAGCCUUGCAUUCUGCUCAUGGAUUCACUAAGAGGCCCUUCCCGGUCAAAUGUUGUCAGAACACUAAGGGAGUAUUUGGAAGUGGAAUGGGAAGUAAGGAAAGGGAGCAGACGAAGUUUCUCCAAAGAUGUCAUGAAAGGCUCAAACCCCAAAGUGCCGCAACAGAACAAUUUCAGUGAUUGUGGAGUUUAUGUUUUACAGUAUGUGGAGAGCUUUUUUGAGACUCCUAUUGUAAGCUUUGAACUACCAAUGAAUCUAACAGACUGGUUUCCACGUCCAAGAAUGAAAACAAAACGAGAAGAAAUAAAAAACAUAAUCCUGAAUCUACAAGAACAGCAAAACAAAGAAAAGAAAGGGCAGAAAGACAGUAAUCUAACAGAGAAAUAUUUUCAGGAAAGAACAGAAUUUAUCAGCAGCUGAAUAUUUUGUCAUUUGUUAGCCAUACAUCAAUUUUUUUAAAAAAAGGGGAAAAAAACAUCCUGAAAUUUACUUGUCUCUACCAAAACAAAGGACUUCUAGUAUUAUCAGUAAGUAAACUUACUGUUGAGGGUAUAAAUCCAAUUCCCCCAAUGUAUUAAGUAGAAUAAUCUGUAUAUAUGUUGAUUAGGCCAACUUUUUCAACCUUUGUAAUUAUGUUUUUCACUACUUAGGAAACCUUUGUUAUGUGUUUCUGUUUAUAGAACUUAAUAGCAAAUUCUAGACACAAAACAAAUAAAAUAUUUAUAGGAUAAAUUGGUUAACUUUUUCUGUGUUAAGUAAAAUUAUCAUUGAAUAUUUCCCAGUAAGACUUCUAUAUUGCAUGGGGAAUGCUUACGUAGAAAGGUAAUCAAAUUCAUAUUUUAAUUUACAAUUGCCAUUACAAGAUGCUUCAGAAAUGUGCAAAAAAAAAAAAAAUGUGUCUAAAUGCAUUGUGUUUCCAAGGUGAGUGGUUUCAUUUAAAAUCCAAGUGCAGGCAAUACAAUAUUCAGCAACAAAUGUUUCAGAUACCCGGAGAAGUAACUUCAAAAGUACUUGGGAAAUGCUGCUUUCUGAUUGCAAGUCUUACUCAAGCAGUAUUUAAUAAAGUCUCAAAGGUUGGCUUGAGUAGUUCUGUUAGAUCCUCCUUUAUUACUUUAUGUGGUUUCUGAAUGUUGUUUAAAUGUAUUUUCACAAUCCUUUCAUUAUAAAAUUGUAUUUUUGGUAAAUGUAGCAGCAAAUUGCCCACCUUAAAUUUUCUGCCAGAAUUCUGAAUGUUGCAUUCAUAUGUGCUUUAUCUAUCUGAACUUUUUUUAAUGUAUGAGUACUAUUUUUUGUAACGCACAGAAAAACCAAAAUAUUGCUAGUCGUCAUUGCUUGCUUGCUUCUUACUUAACUAGAAGUCUCUAAUAAUUCAAAGUCAUCUUGUUGGCGUUAUUUCCAUGAUGUAAUUUGAUUUUUAAAUUGUGUAUAAAGACAGUAGCCUUCUUCUACCAACCUCUAAAAAUCCAAAAGGAAGCAACUAGGUUCUACUACAUUUUAAAAAUACUCACAAGAUAUUGUCCUCAAAUGAGGGAACUGAAACACUUUUGCAAAUAUAUUUGUUGAAUAAUGCCUUUGUUAAAAAGAAAUUCUUCUUGUUGGGAAGGAGGAUGCUUUUGAUGUAAUAAAUGAAAAAUAUUGUAGAUGAAACAGGCAAUAUUGCCAUUGCAACAUACAAUCCUUUUCACCCUCUUCACAGUAGAACAUUCUAUGUAGAAAGUAUUAUAUUUGCACCCAAUUUUUACUAUUAUUAUAUUGAUGUCACCUACACAAUACUCAUAUUUUGUACAGGAUCAGAGAUUGCUUUGCCAAAGAAAAAUUCUGAAGAAUACAUCGCUUUGGUCUGUUGCCCUGCAUUUACUUUGUUUAAAUGCUAUAGACUUCAUUGUAACAAUAAUAGGAUUGUAACUUAGUGGCAAAGCUUUCCAUGUUCUCCUCCAUAAAUUAUUUUUAAUAGAUGCACAAUAGUAGGGCUCUCAUGACACUAUCAGUAUUAAAACAAAUGAAUUGAGAUUAUUUGUUCCUACAAAUUAACGUAAAAUCAAUUAGUAUUAAGAAAAAAAGACAAACAUUUAUUCUACAUUUUCCAGUUUAUGUCUAAAAUUUAUCCAAGUAGCAGUAGAAAAGAGAAGCAAGAAUAAACAAGGGGUUGACAACAAAUGUAAUUUACUUAUUUUGAUAUUUUUUUUAGUGUUACUUGAACACAUUGUAGGGAAAUUUUACAUAGCAAAUGCACAUUCUCGUGCAAGAUUAUUUGUUGCAAUAUUUGGAUUUAUAUGAAAUUAGAUUUUGCUUUUGUUUUUAAUAGGUUGUGGCCUAUCCUAGUUUUUAUUUGUUUGGUUCUGUUCCUGAGAAUGGCCUGGAGCUUGUAUUCCUUUUCAAGAUGUGAAGAAUGCAAUGUUUCUCUCUUAAUAUUAUGAUGAUCACCAAAAUGAAGCUUUUCUUUUACUCAUCUGUGACUUCCCAUGGUUGAGCUGGUUUUACACUGUGCAUUAGCAGCUCUUCAAGCAAAAUACUAGCUUUUUUUUUAGGAAAUCUAAUUUUAUUGAAUUGCUAAUUCAACUGCAUUGUUCUUCUCCAGCAGGAAAGACCAAGAGCUAUGUUUCACUCCCUGCAUUUUUUUCUGCGGUUAAAUCUUUAUUAGAAAGAGACAUUCUCUUUAAUUAUACAUGUUGUUUGUGACUUUUAUCAAUCAGCAUGCUUAUUGCUAACGAUUUUGAAAAAGCUUAUCUACUCUUUCCUACCAGUUUUGUCUUAUUCUAAGGUUGCUGUUUACCCAUCUGUGUUUAAAGUACAUCUCAGCAAAAUAGAAUUGACUCUCUUCAGUCAUGCUUUAAAAUUACAGCAUCUGACAGUUCAGCAGUAAUCAUUUUUACUUGGUUAAACCUUGUCAAGUUCAAAGAAACUUAUUCUCAGCAUGUGUAGGAUUUCAGCCUAUUUUUUUCUCCUUAGGACUAGAACCAAUAGUGAUGUCAAACUUAAUUUUUAUAUAUUAAAUUCUUGACAUGCAAUUAACUAAAUGUGGACUUUCCACUACAAUUUUAGGAAUUCCAUUCAAAUAGUAAAUAAUAAAUGCUCCUCAACUGUGGUCUUGGCCAGAAAGCAGAGCUUCAGGAAAUAGGAUGUGGAUGCUUUGUAUAUAGUAAAUGAGUGAUGAUAUGCUUAACAAGCCCACACAAACAAAACACUCCUCAAAUCACUUUAUUAAAACUACUGGUUUACAAAAUAAAACAUAUAUUGUACAACAUAGAUUCUAUGUAAUAUGAUAGUUCCUUUAGACUCUGUAAAAGAUGAUAGUUCUUUUAUUAUAAAUUGCUACAAAUGAGAUGAAUCUUGACUAGGUCACCAAAGAAUGUUUACACAGUACAUACAAAAAAAAAAUAAUGCAAUAACUUAUCCAGAAUGUAAUUCCCACCCCUGUACACAUCUUUUUUUAAAAUGUAGAGAUUGGAGAAUAUAAAAUCCUCCAUUCCUCUAUUACCCAUGGUUAUGAAUGUGUCAUCAGAUUAAGAUUUAUAAUGGUUAUUAUUAUCCUGAUACAAACCUAAGAAAUAUCAGUGCCUCUUUCCAGACAAUGUGGGAGGAAAGCUGUAUUACAUCUAUGGUAGCCAGAAAUGAGAUAUCUUAACAGCACAUUUUAUUGGAAAGGCAUAUUGCUUUCGUAGACUGUUAAUUUCAUCAGAAGUACACCAUAGCUAUUUUAAUGUAAAAUUUAACCUGGGAGGAGACAAGUAGAGGAAGAAAGAUGUAGAUGAAAGUGUUAAAGAGGACAGAUUGCAAGCAUCCUACCAAUUAGAAACUUCAAUAUGUAAAGUAAUUGUCGUAUUCCCUGAAACUCUAAAAUCUUUUUGUUUCAUAUUGAGUUCUGCCAUCUAUUGUUAAAUUUUCUUUUUUUUGAUACGGUCACCUUGAGAUCUUCAUUAAAAUGUCCUUGGACAUUGA